This 397-nucleotide ribosomal RNA is filed under the name uncultured bacterium. Its description in RNAcentral is "partial 16S ribosomal RNA". It matches the Rfam family "Bacterial small subunit ribosomal RNA", at positions 338 to 732 of the family's 1533-position model. The record is from RNAcentral.
CCUACGGGUGGCAGCAGUGAGGAAUAUUGGUCAAUGGCCGAGAGUCUGAACCAGCCAAGCAGCGUGAAGGAUGACUGCCCCAUGCGUUGUAAACUUCUUUUAUCUGGGAAUAAAACAGGGUAUGCAUACCUUCUCGUAUGUACUAUAUGAAUAAGGAUCGGCUAACUCCGUGCCAGCAGCCGCGGUAAUACGGAGGAUGCGAGCGUUAUCCGGAUUUAUUGGGUUUAAAGGGGGCGUAGGUGGAUUGUUAAGUCAGUUGUGAAAGUUUGCGGCUCAACCGUAAGAUUGCAGUUGAAACUGGCAGUCUUGAGUACAGUAGAGGUGUGCGGAAUGCGUGGUGUAGCGGUGAAAUGCUUAGAUAUCGCGAAGAACUCCGAUUGCGAAGGCAGCACACCGG